Molecule: ribosomal RNA, 419 nt
Filed under: bacterium
Lineage: Bacteria
Description: partial 16S ribosomal RNA
Rfam family: Bacterial small subunit ribosomal RNA
Source: RNAcentral
UGGGGGAUAUUGCACAAUGGGCGAAAGCCUGAUGCAGCGACGCCGCGUGGGGGAUGAAGGCCUUCGGGUUGUAAACUUCUUUUGCUCUGAACAAGGCGCACCAUGGGGUGUGUUGAGUGUAGGGGUUGAUUAGCGCCGGCUAACUACGUGCCAGCAGCCGCGGUAAUACGUAGGGCGCGAACGUUGUCCGGAAUUAUUGGGCGUAAAGGGCUUGUAGGUGGCUGGUUGCGUCUGUCGUGAAAGCUCAUGGCUUAACUGUGGGUUUGCGGUGGGUACGGGCUGGCUUGAGUGCAGUAGGGGAGGCUGGAAUUCCUGGUGUAGCGGUGGAAUGCGCAGAUAUCAGGAGGAAUACCGGUGGCGAAGGCGGGUCUCUGGGCUGUUACUGACACUGAGGAGCGAAAGCAUGGGGAGCGAACAGG